CAGUCGCCACGGGAAUACGAAGGGGGCUAGCGUUGCUCGGAAUCACUGGGCGUAAAGGGUGCGUAGGCGGGUUUUUAAGUCAGAGGUGAAAUCCUGGAGCUCAACUCCAGAACUGCCUUUGAUACUGAAAGUCUUGAGUUCGGGAGAGGUGAGUGGAACUGCGAGUGUAGAGGUGAAAUUCGUAGAUAUUCGCAAGAACACCAGUGGCGAAGGCGGCUCACUGGCCCGAUACUGACGCUGAGGCACGAAAGCGUGGGGAGCAAACAGGAUUAGAGACCCGCGUAGUCCCUGUCUCUUAUAC
Molecule: ribosomal RNA, 301 nt
Filed under: uncultured bacterium
Lineage: Bacteria
Description: partial 16S ribosomal RNA
Rfam family: Bacterial small subunit ribosomal RNA
Source: RNAcentral